RNAcentral lists this ribosomal RNA (465 nucleotides) under uncultured bacterium. RNAcentral's name for it is "partial 16S ribosomal RNA". It matches the Rfam family "Bacterial small subunit ribosomal RNA", at positions 28 to 507 of the family's 1533-position model. The record is from RNAcentral.
GACGAACGCUGGCGGCGUGCUUAACACAUGCAAGUCGAACGGAAAGGCCCUGCUUGCAGGGUACUCGAGUGGCGAACGGGUGAGUAACACGUGGGUGAUCUGCCCUGCACUUCGGGAUAAGCCUGGGAAACUGGGUCUAAUACCGGAUAGGAGCCAUUUUUAGUGUGAUGGUUGGAAAGUUUUUUCGGUGUAGGAUGAGCUCGCGGCCUAUCAGCUUGUUGGUGGGGUAAUGGCCUACCAAGGCGGCGACGGGUAGCCGGCCUGAGAGGGUGGACGGCCACAUUGGGACUGAGAUACGGCCGAGACUCCUACGGGAGGCAGCAGUGGGGAAGAUUGCACAAGGGGCGCAAGCCUGAUGCAGAGACGCCGCGGGGGGGAUGACGGCCUUCGGGUUGUAAACUCCUUUCGCUAGGGACGAAGCUUUUUGUGACGGUACCUAGAUAAGAAGCACCGGCUAACUACGUG